This 424-nucleotide long non-coding RNA is filed under the name Heterocephalus glaber (naked mole-rat). Its description in RNAcentral is "lncRNA (ENSHGLG00100049300.1)". Lineage: Eukaryota; Metazoa; Chordata; Mammalia; Rodentia; Bathyergidae. The record is from RNAcentral.
GAGAUUCCUAAGGUCAUACAACCAGUAAGUGACACAGCCAGGAGUUGAACCCUGGAAUCUGAGUCCAGAAUCUGCCCAUAACCAUUCUUGCAUUGUCCACCGUGAGUGUUGUAUAUAGGCACUGAAGAAUUUACAUUUUGAUGAAGAAUCCUGCCACGUGUACAAGCUGUGCACCCUUGAGGAUGGAUUGCACAGUUCGUGUGGCCUGUGGCUCUUGCUCUCAUUUGUCUGCAUGGCAGAUCCUGCACGGGAAUGAGCCAGCUGAAGAUGUGGACCAGUCCUAGAUUCAGUGGGCCAAGAAUUCAGGCAGCGCUCAUUUGGGUCCGGUGUCAUGGUGUCGGCUGGAGGCUCCAGUGUCUCAAGCUCACUCGGGCCAGAAUCUACUUUGCAACCCGAUGUAGUUGUUGGCAGGACUUAUUUCUCG